Molecule: RNase P RNA, 432 nt
Filed under: Candidatus Peribacteria bacterium RIFCSPHIGHO2_01_FULL_54_22
Lineage: Bacteria; Candidatus Peregrinibacteriota; Candidatus Peribacteria
Also listed under: 5 other names
Description: RNase P RNA component class A
Rfam family: Bacterial RNase P class A
About the family: Ribonuclease P (RNase P) is a ubiquitous endoribonuclease, found in archaea, bacteria and eukarya as well as chloroplasts and mitochondria. Its best characterised activity is the generation of mature 5'-ends of tRNAs by cleaving the 5'-leader elements of precursor-tRNAs.
Source: RNAcentral
CCUGCUCCUUCGAUGAUCGCUGCGCCCCGUUCUACGGGGCGAAGAGGAACGUCCGGGCUUCACCGGAACGCCAUGCGGGUAAUGCCCGUCCGUGCGUCACAUAUCCGGUAAAGGCGCAUGAGGACCAGUGCCACAGUGACGAAUCACCUUUUGGUGAGUGAAACGCCUCGGAAUGACCGAGGACUGCGGCUUCCAAGCUCAGUUGGUAAACUCAUGGUGAAGCAAGGAGGAAUUGGGUUAUAGGGAUUCUUGAUGGUUCCGUCAGGCCUAUGACCCCUCCGCUAAUGCCCCAGUAGUACGUGCUUCGCACGACUACAGGGCGAGAGGUCCCGAGCAAUCGGUACCCUAGAGAGAUGAUCAUCUGGCCUGUAGUGAUGCGUAAGCAUCUACUACUGGGCGACACAGAACCCGGCGUAGGAAGGGGCAGGAUAA